GAUGUUUGUAGUAUUCUGGAAGAAAUAAAUAGGUAAAAUGUUAAAGCUAUAGCGGCGAGUACUGUGAAGGAAAAUUGAAAUAAGGGUUAAAUAUACGAAGGUUAGGUUAGAAGAUGUUAAUUGUUGUACCUUUUGAAUGAUGGUUUGGUGAGAAUUGUUUGGACAUGAUGUUGUUUGUUCUCGAAUAAGGGUGAGCUAACGUUUUCUGCUUGUGUAGUGAGAAUUUUUACUGUUGCAGAAGUAAGGUUUGAGGGGACGUUAGUUGUGAAAUGCUUAUCGCGCUUUUAGAUAGCUGGUUUUCUGGGAAAUUGAUGUAAGUCAGGGUUUUGUUGCUAUUUGUUUUUGUAAGAAUCUAAUUUGGAAAGAUAAAAGGGUUUUUAGGGUAGCAAUGUAGUCUGAGACGGGAGGGGAUAAGCUCUUCUGUUAAUUUGGGAAAAGCCUUUUUUAUAAACUAAUAAUGAAGUUUGAACACUUUUGUUUGGAUACGGGAGUAUGGUUAAUAGCACUUUUCUUGUUCAAGGGCGUUGUAGCUUUGGUUAUUAAUUGCAAAGGUGGAUUAAUAAAUUUGUUGUUUUGGAGGUUGUAAUUUAUGGUACUGGAAGUCUCCAGAAGUAGAUGGAGGUCAUUAUGCUUGGAUUAGUAGGGAUAAAUAAAAAGAUAGGUUAGAUUAUAAGGAGGUACUGUUUGUGUUUUAAGCGUUUCUAACAUUGGAUGAAUAGAAGGCAAAAUUUUGUUUUCGAGAAAUGGCUUCUAUUUUGGCGUCUGUUUCAACACAGAGAGUAGAAAACUUGUGAAGUCUUAAUCAGGGAAGAGGAACUCGGCAAAUAUUGGCUUUGCCUGUUUACCAAAAACAUCGCUUCUCGGAUAAAGUUUAUUUAUAUGGGAAGUACUGCCUGCCCGGUGAUUUUAUUAUUAAACGGCCGCGGUAUUUUUGACUGUGCGAAGGUAGCAUAAUCAUUUGCCUUUUAAUUGGGGGCUGGAAUGAAUGGCAAGACAGAGGCUGUGCUGUCUUUUCUUUGGUUUCUUGAAUUUAAUAUUGUUGUGAAGAAGCGACUAUUUGGUUGUAGGACGAGAAGACCCUGUCGAGCUUCACUUUAGGAGCGGUUGUUUUGAAAAGUUGUGUUACUGUAGGCUAAUUUUUUUUAUUACAUGAGAAAGUGAAGUUACUUGGAGUACGCAGAGUAGAGGGCUGUUUUUAUUGUUUGGUUGGGGCAACCGCGGAGAAUAAAAAUCCUCCGUUAUUAGUAAUAAUUUGGAAAAAUAACUAUUUUGUUGGGUAAAAGUGAUUUGAAUGAAGAUCCACUAGAAAGUAGUGAUUAAAGGAAAAAGUUACCGCAGGGAUAACAGCGUUAUUUCUUUGGAGAGUUCGUAUUGAUAAAGGAGUUUGCGACCUCGAUGUUGGAUCAGGGUGUCCUGGGGGUGUAGCAGUUCCCAAGGGUUGGUCUGUUCGACCAUUAAAACCUUACGUGAUCUGAGUUCAGACCGGCGUGAGCCAGGUCAGUUUUUAUCCACAGCCAUAAAAAAAAAGUCUCUUUUAGUACGAAAGGAUCGGGGAGAUAGCACCAAUGUUUUUAGGUACGUGCUGUUUAUGGAAAAAUUUUUGGUUACAGAUAAAA
This 1616-nucleotide ribosomal RNA is filed under the name Echinaster brasiliensis. RNAcentral describes it as "16S ribosomal RNA". It matches the Rfam family "Bacterial large subunit ribosomal RNA". Lineage: Eukaryota; Metazoa; Echinodermata; Asteroidea; Spinulosida; Echinasteridae. The record is from RNAcentral.